Molecule: ribosomal RNA, 1509 nt
Filed under: Helicobacter pylori
Lineage: Bacteria; Pseudomonadati; Campylobacterota; Epsilonproteobacteria; Campylobacterales; Helicobacteraceae
Description: bacterial SSU rRNA
Rfam family: Bacterial small subunit ribosomal RNA
Source: RNAcentral
UUUAUGGAGAGUUUGAUCCUGGCUCAGAGUGAACGCUGGCGGCGUGCCUAAUACAUGCAAGUCGAACGAUGAAGCUUCUAGCUUGCUAGAAUGCUGAUUAGUGGCGCACGGGUGAGUAACGCAUAGGUCAUGUGCCUCUUAGUUUGGGAUAGCCAUUGGAAACGAUGAUUAAUACCAGAUACUCCCUACGGGGGAAAGAUUUAUCGCUAAGAGAUCAGCCUAUGUCCUAUCAGCUUGUUGGUAAGGUAAUGGCUUACCAAGGCUAUGACGGGUAUCCGGCCUGAGAGGGUGAACGGACACACUGGAACUGAGACACGGUCCAGACUCCUACGGGAGGCAGCAGUAGGGAAUAUUGCUCAAUGGGGGAAACCCUGAAGCAGCAACGCCGCGUGGAGGAUGAAGGUUUUAGGAUUGUAAACUCCUUUUGUUAGAGAAGAUAAUGACGGUAUCUAACGAAUAAGCACCGGCUAACUCCGUGCCAGCAGCCGCGGUAAUACGGAGGGUGCAAGCGUUACUCGGAAUCACUGGGCGUAAAGAGCGCGUAGGCGGGAUAGUCAGUCAGGUGUGAAAUCCUAUGGCUUAACCAUAGAACUGCAUUUGAAACUACUAUUCUAGAGUGUGGGAGAGGUAGGUGGAAUUCUUGGUGUAGGGGUAAAAUCCGUAGAGAUCAAGAGGAAUACUCAUUGCGAAGGCGACCUGCUGGAACAUUACUGACGCUGAUUGUGCGAAAGCGUGGGGAGCAAACAGGAUUAGAUACCCUGGUAGUCCACGCCCUAAACGAUGGAUGCUAGUUGUUGGAGGGCUUAGUCUCUCCAGUAAUGCAGCUAACGCAUUAAGCAUCCCGCCUGGGGAGUACGGUCGCAAGAUUAAAACUCAAAGGAAUAGACGGGGACCCGCACAAGCGGUGGAGCAUGUGGUUUAAUUCGAAGAUACACGAAGAACCUUACCUAGGCUUGACAUUGAGAGAAUCCGCUAGAAAUAGUGGAGUGUCUGGCUUGCUAGACCUUGAAAACAGGUGCUGCACGGCUGUCGUCAGCUCGUGUCGUGAGAUGUUGGGUUAAGUCCCGCAACGAGCGCAACCCCCUUUCUUAGUUGCUAACAGGUUAUGCUGAGAACUCUAAGGAUACUGCCUCCGUAAGGAGGAGGAAGGUGGGGACGACGUCAAGUCAUCAUGGCCCUUACGCCUAGGGCUACACACGUGCUACAAUGGGGUGCACAAAGAGAAGCAAUACUGCGAAGUGGAGCCAAUCUUCAAAACACCUCUCAGUUCGGAUUGUAGGCUGCAACUCGCCUGCAUGAAGCUGGAAUCGCUAGUAAUCGCAAAUCAGCCAUGUUGCGGUGAAUACGUUCCCGGGUCUUGUACUCACCGCCCGUCACACCAUGGGAGUUGUGUUUGCCUUAAGUCAGGAUGCUAAAUUGGCUACUGCCCACGGCACACACAGCGACUGGGGUGAAGUCGUAACAAGGUAACCGUAGGUGAACCUGCGGUUGGAUCACCUCCUUUCUAGA